RNAcentral lists this ribosomal RNA (1567 nucleotides) under Pseudoalteromonas lipolytica. RNAcentral describes it as "bacterial LSU rRNA". It matches the Rfam family "Bacterial large subunit ribosomal RNA", at positions 1271 to 2824 of the family's 2925-position model. Lineage: Bacteria; Pseudomonadati; Pseudomonadota; Gammaproteobacteria; Alteromonadales; Pseudoalteromonadaceae. The record is from RNAcentral.
UGCUGGAGGUAUCAGAAGUGCGAAUGCUGACAUGAGUAACGAUAAUGCGGGUGAAAAACCCGCACGCCGGAAGACCAAGGGUUCCUAUCCCAUGUUAAUCAGGGUAGGGUAAGUCGACCCCUAAGGCGAGGCCGAAAGGCGUAGUCGAUGGGAAACGGGUUAAUAUUCCCGUACUUGGUAUAAUUGCGAUGGGGGGACGGAGCAGGCUAAGCAAGCAUGGCGUUGGUUGUCCAUGUGAAAGUGAGUAGGUUGAGAGUUUAGGAAAAUCCGGACUCUUAAGACUGAGACACGAGACGAGCCACUAAGGUGGUGAAGUUGUUGAUGCCAUACUUCCAGGAAAAGCCUCUAAGCUUCAGAUUAUACCGAAUCGUACCCCAAACCGACACAGGUGGUCAGGUAGAGAAUACUAAGGCGCUUGAGAGAACUCGGGUGAAGGAACUAGGCAAAAUCGUACCGUAACUUCGGGAGAAGGUACGCUCCGAUUGGUGAUGAGACUUGCUCUUUAAGCUGAUUGGAGCCGCAGUGACCAGGUGGCUGGGACUGUUUAUUAAAAACACAGCACUGUGCAAAAUCGCAAGAUGACGUAUACGGUGUGACACCUGCCCGGUGCCGGAAGGUUAAUUGAUGGGGUUAGUUUUCGGACGAAGCUCUUGAUCGAAGCCCCGGUAAACGGCGGCCGUAACUAUAACGGUCCUAAGGUAGCGAAAUUCCUUGUCGGGUAAGUUCCGACCUGCACGAAUGGUGUAACCAUGGCCACGCUGUCUCCACCCGAGACUCAGUGAAAUUGAAAUCGCAGUGAAGAUGCUGUGUACCCGCGGCUAGACGGAAAGACCCCGUGAACCUUUACUACAGCUUGGCACUGAACAUUGAACCUACAUGUGUAGGAUAGGUGGGAGGCUUUGAAGCAGAGACGCUAGUCUUUGUGGAGCCGUCCUUGAAAUACCACCCUUGUAGUUUUGAUGUUCUAACGUUGGCCCCUAAUCGGGGUUACGGACAGUGCCUGGUGGGUAGUUUGACUGGGGCGGUCUCCUCCCAAAGAGUAACGGAGGAGCACGAAGGUUGGCUAAGUACGGUCGGACAUCGUACGGUUAGUGUAAUGGUAGAAGCCAGCUUAACUGCGAGACAGACACGUCGAGCAGGUACGAAAGUAGGUCAUAGUGAUCCGGUGGUUCUGAAUGGAAGGGCCAUCGCUCAACGGAUAAAAGGUACUCCGGGGAUAACAGGCUGAUACCGCCCAAGAGUUCAUAUCGACGGCGGUGUUUGGCACCUCGAUGUCGGCUCAUCACAUCCUGGGGCUGAAGUCGGUCCCAAGGGUAUGGCUGUUCGCCAUUUAAAGUGGUACGCGAGCUGGGUUUAGAACGUCGUGAGACAGUUCGGUCCCUAUCUGCCGUGGGCGUUUGAGAAUUGAGAGGGGUUGCUCCUAGUACGAGAGGACCGGAGUGAACGAACCGCUGGUGUUCGGGUUGUCAUGCCAAUGGCAUUGCCCGGUAGCUACGUUCGGAACUGAUAAGCGCUGAAAGCAUCUAAGCGCGAAGCAGGCCUCGAGAUGAGUUCUCACUAGACUUUU